This is a long non-coding RNA of Dama dama (fallow deer), 864 nucleotides long. RefSeq lists it as uncharacterized. The transcript has 3 exons. The record is from RefSeq and is a predicted model, not a curated record. Lineage: Eukaryota; Metazoa; Chordata; Mammalia; Artiodactyla; Cervidae.
GUAUGGGCAGGCAGAUUCUUUACCACUGAGUCACCAGGGAAAACCAAGUCACCUUACAGAGUGCUUAUUUAUUAAUUCAAAAUGGGCUGUGUCUCUUUCCAAUAACUGGGCCAUUUAUAUCUGCUAUCCAGUGUAUCUAUUCUCAGAUAUCAAGCCAGAAAGAAAGCUCACGGUUAUUAGAUUUCUUCUGUACACAGGACAUGCCAGUCACAUUUACACAUGUUACUUCUAGUUAAUCCUCAUUUCAACCCCAUGAGGUGUUAUCUCCAUUUUAGAGAUAAAGAAACCAAUAUUCAAAGAGGCUGAGUAAAUAGCUCAAGCUCGCAAAGCCAGUGAGAAAGAGUCAGAACAUUUCAGCUGCAAUACCUGUGGGCCUCCUCCUCCUUUGACCUGGGGGGCCACAGAGUGAGACAUAGAGAUGAAACAGUCUCACCAGGUUCAAGUCACAGCAGAGUUCAGGAAAGGUCUCUUUCGUGACCCUCAAUCUGAGUCCAGAGAGAAGAGUGGCUAGAUGAAAAUCCAGGUGAGGAGUGUGGACAGUGGGGUCAGCCUGUGCAAUGGCCCUGCAGUGGGGGACACAUCGGUGAGCUUGAGGAACCGUGUGGCUGCAGCCCAGCCAGCACAGGCUUCACAAGCUAUUCUGUAGCUGGCCUGACCACAUCUCAGAAAGUCCACACUCCGGGACAAGGCUCGUGGCGCCUCCAGUCUUUAUGGACCCCUGUCUUUUCAAGGAUGUUUCUACAGAUCACCAUGAACAUGUCUGAAGAACCAAGGAAGUGAAACUGCAAAUGAGGUUAUGUUUUCUGGUGCCUCUUUUGUUGAAGUUUGUGCAUAGAGAUUUCAAUUCCUUAUACAAAUCUACCA